This 495-nucleotide ribosomal RNA is filed under the name uncultured bacterium. RNAcentral describes it as "partial 16S ribosomal RNA". It matches the Rfam family "Bacterial small subunit ribosomal RNA", at positions 28 to 507 of the family's 1533-position model. The record is from RNAcentral.
GACGAACGCUGGCGGCGUGCCUAAUACAUGCAAGUAGAACGCUGAAGGAGGAGCUUGCUUCUCUGGAUGAGUUGCGAACGGGUGAGUAACGCGUAGGUAACCUGCCUGGUAGCGGGGGAUAACUAUUGGAAACGAUAGCUAAUACCGCAUAAUAGUAGAUGUCGCAUGACAUUUGCUUAAAAGGUGCAAUUGCAUCACUACCAGAUGGACCUGCGUUGUAUUAGCUAGUUGGUGAGGUAACGGCUCACCAAGGCAACGAUACAUAGCCGACCUGAGAGGGUGAUCGGCCACACUGGGACUGAGACACGGCCCAGACUCCUACGGGAGGCAGCAGUAGGGAAUCUGCGGCAAUGGACGGAAGUCUGACCGAGCAACGCCGCGUGAGUGAAGAAGGUUUUCGGAUCGUAAAGCUCUGUUGUAAGAGAAGAACGAGUGUGAGAGUGGAAAGUUCACACUGUGACGGUAUCUUACCAGAAAGGGACGGCUAACUACGUG